Monopterus albus (swamp eel) is the source of this 385-nucleotide long non-coding RNA. RefSeq lists it as uncharacterized. The record is from RefSeq and is a predicted model, not a curated record. Lineage: Eukaryota; Metazoa; Chordata; Actinopteri; Synbranchiformes; Synbranchidae. The transcript has 2 exons.
AUGCCUUUGGUUAAGAUAUAAGUUAAAUAGUUAGAAUCUUGGUUUGAAAAAACUCAUCAGAGUGAGAGGUCUUCACGCUGUGUAUCCAUGGGAUUGUGAAAAAAUAUAGAGUGAGAGCUCUCACCAGAGUUAGAAGAUCUUGGACGUCUUUGUUGAAGGGAGAAAUUAACAGUUUCUCGGUAUUUCCAAACUUUUCUUAGACUCAUUAUUCUUCUCCUAGUGCUUGUGCUUGUGGAAUUCUAUGUCUUUUUACAAUAUAAUAAGGAAUGAUAAGGAUAAACUCCAUUUGAAAAGAAAAGAAAGCCUUGUGUGGAGCAUCAACCCUUUUAUUUGUUCGCUGGCUGUCUAGUGUCACGAAAGUAGGCGUGUAUCGAGGACAGCACAG